UGGGGAAUAUUGCACAAUGGGCGAAAGCCUGAUGCAGCGACGCCGCGUGAGUGAUGAAGGUCUUCGGAUUGUAAAGCUCUGUCUUUUGGGACGAUAAUGACGGUACCAAAGGAGGAAGCCACGGCUAACUACGUGCCAGCAGCCGCGGUAAUACGUAGGUGGCGAGCGUUGUCCGGAUUUACUGGGCGUAAAGGGUGCGUAGGCGGAUGUUCAAGUGAGAUGUGAAAUACCCGGGCUUAACUUGGGUGCUGCAUUUCAAACUGGAUAUCUAGAGUGCAGGAGAGGAGAAUGGAAUUCCUAGUGUAGCGGUGAAAUGCGUAGAGAUUAGGAAGAACACCAGUGGCGAAGGCGAUUCUCUGGACUGUAACUGACGCUGAGGCACGAAAGCGUGGGUAGCAAACAGGAUUAGAUACCCUGGUAGUCCACGCCGUAAACGGUGAGUACUAGGUGUAGAAGGUAUCGACCCCUUCUGUGCCGCAGUAAACACAUUAAGUACUCCGCCUGGGGAAGUACGAUCGCAAGAUUAAAAC
This 530-nucleotide ribosomal RNA is filed under the name uncultured bacterium. RNAcentral's name for it is "partial 16S ribosomal RNA". It matches the Rfam family "Bacterial small subunit ribosomal RNA", at positions 355 to 900 of the family's 1533-position model. The record is from RNAcentral.